This 157-nucleotide ribosomal RNA is filed under the name Xanthoria parietina. RNAcentral's name for it is "5.8S ribosomal RNA". It matches the Rfam family "5.8S ribosomal RNA". From Rfam's summary of the family: 5.8S ribosomal RNA (5.8S rRNA) is a component of the large subunit of the eukaryotic ribosome. It is transcribed by RNA polymerase I as part of the 45S precursor that also contains 18S and 28S rRNA. Functionally, it is thought that 5.8S rRNA may be involved in ribosome translocation. The record is from RNAcentral. Lineage: Eukaryota; Fungi; Ascomycota; Lecanoromycetes; Teloschistales; Teloschistaceae.
AAACUUUCAACAACGGAUCUCUUGGUUCUGGCAUCGAUGAAGAACGCAGCGAAAUGCGAUAAGUAAUGUGAAUUGCAGAAUUCAGUGAAUCAUCGAAUCUUUGAACGCACAUUGCGCCCCCUGGUAUUCCGGGGGGCAUGCCUGUUCGAGCGUCGUU